AGCGAACGCUGGCGGCAGGCCUAACACAUGCAAGUCGAACGGUCCCUUCGGGGUUAGUGGCGGACGGGUGAGUAACACGUGGGAACGUGCCUUUAGGUUCGGAAUAGCUCCUGGAAACGGGUGGUAAUGCCGAAUGUGCCCUUCGGGGGAAAGAUUUAUCGCCUUUAGAGCGGCCCGCGCCUGAUUAGCUAGUUGGUGAGGUAAUGGCUCACCAAGGCGACGAUCAGUAGCUGGUCUGAGAGGAUGACCAGCCACAUUGGGACUGAGACACGGCCCAAACUCCUACGGGAGGCAGCAGUGGGGAAUCUUGCGCAAUGGGCGAAAGCCUGACGCAGCCAUGCCGCGUGGAUGAUGAAGGUCUUAGGAUUGUAAAAUCCUUUCACCGGUGAAGAUAAUGACUGUAGCCGGAGAAGAAGCCCCGGCUAACUUCGUGCCAGCAGCCGCAGUAA
RNAcentral lists this ribosomal RNA (449 nucleotides) under uncultured bacterium. RNAcentral describes it as "partial 16S ribosomal RNA". It matches the Rfam family "Bacterial small subunit ribosomal RNA", at positions 29 to 523 of the family's 1533-position model. The record is from RNAcentral.